UACGUAGGGUGCAAGCGGUGUCCGGAAUUAUUGGGCGUAAAGAGCUCGUAGGCGGUCUGUUGCGUCGGCUGUGAAAACCCGGGGCUCAACCCCGGGCCUGCAGCCGAUACGGGCAGACUAGAGUUCGGCAGGGGAGACUGGAAUUCCUGGUGUAGCGGUGAAAUGCGCAGAUAUCAGGAGGAACACCGGUGGCGAAGGCGGGUCUCUGGGCCGAUACUGACGCUGAGGAGCGAAAGCGUGGGGAGCGAACAGG
This 253-nucleotide ribosomal RNA is filed under the name uncultured bacterium. Its description in RNAcentral is "partial 16S ribosomal RNA". It matches the Rfam family "Bacterial small subunit ribosomal RNA", at positions 524 to 776 of the family's 1533-position model. The record is from RNAcentral.